This 1001-nucleotide ribosomal RNA is filed under the name Pantoea sp. SJZ147. RNAcentral's name for it is "partial 23S ribosomal RNA". It matches the Rfam family "Bacterial large subunit ribosomal RNA", at positions 1252 to 2236 of the family's 2925-position model. Lineage: Bacteria; Pseudomonadati; Pseudomonadota; Gammaproteobacteria; Enterobacterales; Erwiniaceae. The record is from RNAcentral.
GAAGGUGUGCUGUGAGGCAUGCUGGAGGUAUCAGAAGUGCGAAUGCUGACAUAAGUAACGAUAAACAAGGUGAAAAACCUUGUCGCCGGAAGACCAAGGGUUCCUGUUCAACGUUAAUCGGAGCAGGGUGAGUCGACCCCUAAGGCGAGGCCGAAAGGCGUAGUCGAUGGGAAACAGGUUAAUAUUCCUGUACUUGGUGUUACUGCGAAGGGGGGACGGAGAAGGCUAUAUCAGCCGGGCGACGGUUGUCCCGGUUUAAGCGUGUAGGUGUGUGUUCCAGGCAAAUCCGGUUCACUUUACACUGAGGCGUGACGACGAGGCACUACGGUGCUGAAGUGAUAAAUGCCCUGCUUCCAGGAAAAGCCUCUAAGCAUCAGGUAACACAAAAUCGUACCCCAAACCGACACAGGUGGUCAGGUAGAGAAUACCAAGGCGCUUGAGAGAACUCGGGUGAAGGAACUAGGCAAAAUGGUGCCGUAACUUCGGGAGAAGGCACGCUGCCACCAGGUGAAGUCACUUGCUGACGGAGCUGAAGGCAGUCGAAGAUACCAGCUGGCUGCAACUGUUUAUUAAAAACACAGCACUGUGCAAACACGAAAGUGGACGUAUACGGUGUGACGCCUGCCCGGUGCCGGAAGGUUAAUUGAUGGGGUUAAGCGCAAGCUGAAGCUCUUGAUCGAAGCCCCGGUAAACGGCGGCCGUAACUAUAACGGUCCUAAGGUAGCGAAAUUCCUUGUCGGGUAAGUUCCGACCUGCACGAAUGGCGUAAUGAUGGCCAGGCUGUCUCCACCCGAGACUCAGUGAAAUUGAAAUCGCUGUGAAGAUGCAGUGUACCCGCGGCAAGACGGAAAGACCCCGUGAACCUUUACUACAGCUUGACACUGAACACUGAGCCUUGAUGUGUAGGAUAGGUGGGAGGCUUUGAAGCGUGGACGCCAGUCUGCGUGGAGCCAUCCUUGAAAUACCACCCUUUAAUGUUUGGUGUUCUAACGUAGGCCCGU